RNAcentral lists this ribosomal RNA (194 nucleotides) under uncultured bacterium. RNAcentral's name for it is "partial 16S ribosomal RNA". It matches the Rfam family "Bacterial small subunit ribosomal RNA", at positions 338 to 524 of the family's 1533-position model. The record is from RNAcentral.
CCUACGGGAGGCAGCAGUGGGGAAUAUUGCACAAUGGGCGCAAGCCUGAUGCAGCCAUGCCGCGUGUAUGAAGAAGGCCUUCGGGUUGUAAAGUACUUUCAGCAGUGAGGAAGGUAGUAGUGUUAAUAGCACUAUUAUUUGACGUUAGCUGCAGAAGAAGCACCGGCUAACUCCGUGCCAGCAGCCGCGGUAAU